RNAcentral lists this ribosomal RNA (294 nucleotides) under uncultured bacterium. Its description in RNAcentral is "partial 16S ribosomal RNA". It matches the Rfam family "Bacterial small subunit ribosomal RNA", at positions 773 to 1060 of the family's 1533-position model. The record is from RNAcentral.
GUGGAUUAGAUACCCUGGUAGUCCACGCUGUAAACGAUGACGACUAGGUGUGGGGGGGGUUAGUCCCUUCCGUGCCGCAGCUAACGCAUUAAGUCGUCCGCCUGGGGAGUACGGCCGCAAGGUUGAAACUCAAAGGAAUUGACGGGGGCCCGCACAAGCGGUGGAGCAUGUGGUUCAAUUCGAUGCAGAGCGAAGAACCUUACCUGGGCUUGACAUGUAGGAAGUAGAAACCCGAAAGGGGGACGACCUGUUAAGUCAGGAGCCUACACAGGUGGUGCACGGCCGUCGCCAGCU